GAUGAACGCUGGCGGCGUGCCUAAUACAUGCAAGUCGAGCGAACGGACGAGAAGCUUGCUUCUCUGAUGUUAGCGGCGGACGGGUGAGUAACACGUGGAUAACCUACCUAUAAGACUGGGAUAACUUCGGGAAACCGGAGCUAAUGCCGGAUAAUAUUUUGAACCGCAUGGUUCAAAAGUGAAAGACGGUCUUGCUGUCACUUAUAGAUGGAUCCGCGCUGCAUUAGCUAGUUGGUAAGGUAACGGCUUACCAAGGCAACGAUGCAUAGCCGACCUGAGAGGGUGAUCGGCCACACUGGAACUGAGACACGGUCCAGACUCCUACGGGAGGCAGCAGUAGGGUAUCUUCCGCAAUGGGCGAAAGCCUGACGGAGCAACGCCGCGUGAGUGAUGAAGGUCUUCGGAUCGUAAAACUCUGUUAUUAGGGAAGAACAUAUGUGUAAGUAACUGUGCACAUCUUGACGGUACCUAAUCAGAAAGCCACGGCUAACUACGUG
This 497-nucleotide ribosomal RNA is filed under the name uncultured bacterium. RNAcentral's name for it is "partial 16S ribosomal RNA". It matches the Rfam family "Bacterial small subunit ribosomal RNA", at positions 28 to 507 of the family's 1533-position model. The record is from RNAcentral.